Molecule: ribosomal RNA, 497 nt
Filed under: uncultured bacterium
Lineage: Bacteria
Description: partial 16S ribosomal RNA
Rfam family: Bacterial small subunit ribosomal RNA
Source: RNAcentral
GAUGAACGCUGGCGGCGUGCCUAAUACAUGCAAGUCGAGCGAACAGACGAGGAGCUUGCUCCUCUGACGUUAGCGGCGGACGGGUGAUGAACACGUGGAUAACCUACCUAUAGGACUGGGAUAACUUCGGGAAACCUGAUCUAAUACCGGAUAAUAUAUUGAACCGCAUGGUUCAAUAGUGAAAGACGGUUUUGCUGUCACUUAUAGAUGGAUCCGCGCCGCAUUAGCUAGUUGGUAAGGUAACGGCUUACCAAGGCAACGAUGCGUAGCCGACCUGAGAGGGUGAUCAGCCACACUGGAACUGAGACACGGUCCAGACUCCUACGGGAGGCAGCAGUAGGGAAUAUUCCGCAAUGGGCGAAAGCCUGACGGAGCCACGCCGCGUGAGUGAUGAAGGUCUUCGGAUCGUAAAACUCUGUUAUUAGGGAAGAACAAAUGUGUAAGUAACUAUGCACGUCUUGACGGUACCUACUCAGAAAGCAACGGCUAACUACGUG